This 75-nucleotide transfer RNA is filed under the name uncultured archaeon. RNAcentral describes it as "tRNA-Arg(ccg)". It matches the Rfam family "tRNA". From Rfam's summary of the family: Transfer RNA (tRNA) molecules are approximately 80 nucleotides in length. Their secondary structure includes four short double-helical elements and three loops (D, anti-codon, and T loops). Further hydrogen bonds mediate the characteristic L-shaped molecular structure. tRNAs have two regions of fundamental functional importance: the anti-codon, which is responsible for specific mRNA codon recognition, and the 3' end, to which the tRNAs corresponding amino acid is attached (by aminoacyl-tRNA synthetases). tRNAs cope with the degeneracy of the genetic code in two manners: having more than one tRNA (with a specific anti-codon) for a particular amino acid; and 'wobble' base-pairing, i.e. permitting non-standard base-pairing at the 3rd anti-codon position. The record is from RNAcentral.
GCCCCGGUAGCUCAGCGGAGGAGCAGCGGUUUCCGAAGCCGAAGGACAGGGGUUCAAAUCCCUUCCGGGGUACCA